GAAAAUGUAUGUUGUACUUACACGAUGUAUGUCCAUCUGAGCAAGAGUCAUAUUCACCGGUGUUAAUUAGUUUUUGGUCUAAGUUAUCACGUUCAAUGCGAAAAUGAUCACGAAAUGAUCACGAUUGAAAUCAGAUCAUUUCUAUCGGUGGCUUUAAAGUCGGCCUAGGCUACCUUUUUUCAUAUAUAUGAAAAAUUCUCGUCCAUUUAUCGAACAAGAAAUAGGGCAAACACGAAGUGUGGAGAAAUGUUUCGUAUCGGAUUGCUCAGACGCCAGGUGACUUAAUUAGAGUCGUUUGGAUGGUUUAAAACACCUGGUUUUCUGAUUGCCGGCGUGCACUCACUGGAUGAGAGGAAACAUGGAGGCUGAACGUCUACAUACAGACACGAGAAGCUUUGAUGGUUCCUCGACGUCAGAGCUAGACAGGGCAUUCUUUGGGGAGCGGAAUGAACUGUCUACUUUGUCAUAUGGCCAUCUGUCUGGAUCACGAAUGUCAAACGACAUGGCAAAUGCAUCCUCAGCGGGAAGGCUGCACACUCCAACAUCUCUCUGUCAAGUGUAUGUGUCUUCUCCCUGCCACGAUGAUCUGAACGCCUCAACCAGG
Gadus macrocephalus (Pacific cod) is the source of this 604-nucleotide long non-coding RNA. RefSeq lists it as uncharacterized. The transcript is spliced from 2 exons. The record is from RefSeq and is a predicted model, not a curated record. NCBI's taxonomy places the organism in Eukaryota, Metazoa, Chordata, Actinopteri, Gadiformes, Gadidae.